AGAGUUUGAUCAUGGCUCAGGGCGAACGCUGGCGGCGUGCCUAAUACAUGCAAGUCGAGCGGACAGAUGGGAGCUUGCUCCCUGAUGUUAGCGGCGGACGGGUGAGUAACACGUGGGUAACCUGCCUGUAAGACUGGGAUAACUCCGGGAAACCGGGGCUAAUACCGGAUGCUUAUUUGAACCGCAUGGUUCAAAUAUAAAAGGUGGCUUCGGCUACCACUUACAGAUGGACCCGCGGCGCAUUAGCUAGUUGGUGAGGUAAUGGCUCACCAAGGCAACGAUGCGUAGCCGACCUGAGAGGGUGAUCGGCCACACUGGGACUGAGACACGGCCCAGACUCCUACGGGAGGCAGCAGUAGGGAAUCUUCCGCAAUGGACGAAAGUCUGACGGAGCAACGCCGCGUGAGUGACGAAGGUUUUCGGAUCGUAAAGCUCUGUUGUUAGGGAAGAACAAGUACCGUUCGAAUAGGGCGGUACCUUGACGGUACCUAACCAGAAAGCCACGGCUAACUACGUGCCAGCCGCCGCGGUAAUUC
Molecule: ribosomal RNA, 536 nt
Filed under: uncultured bacterium
Lineage: Bacteria
Description: bacterial SSU rRNA
Rfam family: Bacterial small subunit ribosomal RNA
Source: RNAcentral